GGUGGCGCCAGGGGCCGCCUUCGGGCCCCGGCCGGGGGCACCGCGCCUGGGGCCGGUGUGAGGCACCGCGGGAGUGCCGGGCACUCCCGCCAGCCCGCGGCACCCCCUGCCAGCCCGCUGCCGCGGGUGACGAGCCAGCGACUGGGUAUCCCGCAGAGGCGUGUUCUGGAGCGCGGGUGUUGUGUUUGUACCGGCUUCCUGAGCCAGCUGUAAAGCUCCGGCGCAGACGGGCACGGGCAGGGCCGCCCGGCAGGGACCGGGGGUGGCUUCACCGCGCUCAGCCGUGGCUGGUGUGCUGGCCUGCACACCGGGGCCGUGGAAACCGCCACAAAACCCAGCUCCGCCCAGCGCGUCCAUCUCAGGCUGGGAGCAGGGCUACGCCAGGCGCUGACAGCCCUCACCGGGACGGCCCUUCGCUUGUGCAGCCACAAGUGCCAAAGACAAAACCACCACCGCAACCUGCGGCAGACACUGCGCUGCACUGAGAUGUUCAGAGCUGUGUUUCUCCUUCCGUGGCUUCCAUCUGCCGUACAGUAAGGUCCUUCAAAGGCUGUCUUUACUCUCACUGCCCUGUCCUGCUGCCCUUUGUUCUUCAGCUGCCCUCGUCCCUUUUGAUCCAUGAGGAGACUUUCAGAAUGCUGGGGAUUUAAUAAAUGGUAUUUAACAAAAGAACAGGUACGAAAGGUAAACACAGGCCUCAUGAACUGGUUUACUUUGUUUACUUAUUUGCUUACUUUACUUACAACUUUCAAAACAUAAAUCUUUUAAUCUUGUAGUCCAAACAGGUUGCCAUUUCAGUUGCCUCUUAGGCAACUUGGGAAUAGGAAAGGAGGGCAAAGGGAGGGGAAAAGGUAAGAAAAUCUGUCUGAGCUCUAGCAGCUUUGCUCGCUGGUGUUUUUGUGUACGUGUAUAUGUAUCCACAUGGGGGAAUCCUCAAACCCCAAGCAUUCGCAGCCGGGUAUGUUGGGGCUCCCUGCCUGCUGACUGCGCUGGCUGAAGCCGAAAGCAUUACACAAGUAUGUGCUGCUGUACCUCUGGGAGGAGGUGAGGAACAUCUCACUCGUGGCUGGUGAGUUAGCCAGGUGGCACUGAGUCCAAACACGUGUGGAACUCAGGAAACAAACUCAUUUUGACCAGAAAGGUUUUCCUUUCCACGGUCUCCUUGAGCCCACCAAUUACAACUAUUAGUUUUCGAUGAUCUGUACUAAGUACUUGUCUUUGUGUGAAACAUGGAUACCUUAUUAAUGUGAGAAAAGCCAGCCCCUUUGCUAGCCCUUUGGUAGAGGCAACUAAAGGAAAGGCUACCUGCAGGCCCCUGCUUCUCCCUAAGAUUACAGGAAUACAGGAGUAUUGCUGGUAACAGGAAUACCGACUACCGAAACUGAUCCUGAGCUUCUAAUCUCCACAUGUUCAGUUCUAGUUAAGUCAGGUUGUCCAGAUUCUAGGUUUGUAAGGUGGAGAAGCAAGAGGUGAUGUCUAGUCCUAUCAGGGAAUAAAAAUAAAAGGCUGGGGAACACUGAGAUGGCUCCAGCGCUUUGCAGUCCUUGGGGUGGAGUGGUAACGGCACUGUAGGGUGCUUGUAUCUCUAGGAGGCUGAUGGUAUGGAUAGUAAGAGUAAAAAGCCUGCUCUGCUGCUCUGCCUCCUGACACACCGGGCUCAGGGCACAUAGAGCCUUCCCACAUGGUGUCACGGAGUGGGAACCUGUCUGGCACUGUGGUGAAAUGGUCAAGUGCUGAAGAGAUGGUGAUGCCCCACCUGUGCCACAUCCCUGUUUGGACAGAGGUGGUGAUAGGUAAGACCUCCUCUGGGGGUCAGGAGAAAAGCUGUGGGUCCAGGACAUCCUCCCCAGGCUAACUGUGCUCAAUCUGAAGCCACUGAGACAAGUCAGACUGGUUCUGGUCAGCACAAAGGGGGGUGAUCUGGCAACUCUGAAGAAACAAACAGCACACUGUAAAAGACUGCUUGAAGAAAAUGAUCCAAACAGUGAAAACAGGGCUAGGCAGUUGGGAAACAGCAGGAAAAAGGUGCCUCAUCAGGAAGUUCAAAAGAACUGAAAGAGCACCCAGCACACUCCACCCUGUGCAUUCAUCCGCUAAGCAUGAGAAUGGGAUUGUGACCGUAUCCUAAAGAAAUACCUGGUUUUUUCCAACUGCAGGAUAAAUCACAGUAGAGGACAGCAUAUCCACAGCAGGAAACUACAAGCAGACUCUCACUGGCAAAGAAUCCUCUUUGUUUCUGCGCUGACACAAAUGGUAUCACACCACUUUUGUCCCAUACUCUUCCUAAUGUUGUAUGUGACUACAGUUGAAAGCACUCUCCUGGCAGCUGCUGUUCUCUGCAAUGUUCCCUAACACUGAAUUCCACUGUUCUGACUUACCUCCAGAGUGCAUUGCACAGACCUGCACAAUGUGAUGCUAAAAAAAUAAUAACAUUCUGUGCCUUCUGCUUCAGCAACAUGCCCAACCUUUUUCUUUCCCCCGUUUUAUUUACAGCUCAUCUCUGCUGUCCUGCCACUCAGCUAUUCAUCCACACAUUCAUAUCAUUCCAGCUUCCUUUGAAAUCAGUAGGUCACUCUUCACUACCUUCCUGGGCCAGCUAAAACCUCAGCUGUUAGAGAGCUCUUCUUAACUCACAUUUUGCCAUCAACACUGACUGCAACUGUGAUGUGCAUUUCAGUCUGUUCCAUACAGAAUUGCUUUCUUGAGAAGGAAUACAAAAAAGGGAUACAGACCAGUACAUGAGUGUCAUGAAGUUAGUUACCCAAAGGUUUUCCUUUCCUUUUUACUCUACUCUAUUUUUCAGCAGCUGCUGAAAAACUGGUAUUCAGUAAUAGAAACGCCUGGUAAUAUUGAGCUCCUGGAGACACGGAUGUUUUACUUACUGAAGAAGUGCCACUGCAGGUCUAAAUCACUUUGUAAAAAUAUUCACUGGUCUUUGCAGCGCUUCCAGGAAAACACAUACAAUUCCUUUCGUAGCCUCUCCUCCCUUUAUGUAGUUGUUGUUUAGUCCUUUUCAAUCAGAGAGAUGGAAGGAAAGUUUUGCACUUGAAAUUCAUCAUUGUCUUCCCUGUGGGCAUGUGGUGAUGUGCUCAUUGCAUCACCUCUCCUGCCUCUGAAUAUUUUAAAUGAAGUUGGCUUACAAAGUAAAUCUUGGAAAGGGGAGAGCAGGAACAGCUAUUUCCACUUCUGCUCCUGGUCACGUGCUGUGGAAUACUGUUUUUGAAACACAGCUGUUAACAUGGGCACAUCUGUCCAAGCUAGCGUGUGUCCAGAACUACUGGGCUGCAGCUACCAUAAGAAGUACCUGGUAAAGAAAGAGACACAACUGUUAGUGAAAGGGGUUCCUCACAGGGUGUGGUGGCACUGACAGGCAAACUGCCUGUUAGGCCUCUCAGAUUAAAAUGAAGCACUAAAUUAUCUCAUGUUUUUGAGUGUUUUAUUGUUUGAAGUAUUCUAUUUCAAAUUAUAAAUGUAUAAAUUUUAUAGUUUUUUCUUUACAGCCAAAUAAGAUUUAUUUUUUCAAGAGACAGAAAAUCGGCCAAACACUGCACUGAAAUCAGGUGUAAAUCUUGCUCUGUGAAGGAGAUAACCUGAACUCUGUCUAGGAACCACGCUGUGGGAUUCUGUGUGAGCAGAGCUGUGGGUGAAGAGCAGCAGGCUGGAGAGCACAGGUUUGUAUCACACACAGAUGACAGUGGUAAGUGAGGGGACAAGGGUGGCCACAGAGAGACCAGUUACUUGCAGUAAUUGCACAGUAGGAAUGAAUCCAGAGGGAGAUGGGUCAUGAGCCUCCUUCUUUGCCAAAAUAUAUUUUAUUACACUCUGAUAGGAGCAGGAAGGAGCCCCAUGAUCUCAGUAAUUUGCUUCAUCUCAGAUGAGGCAUCUGCUUCUCCCCUCUCAUAUAUGGAAAGAGAAACAGAUGACCUGAAAUGCCAGGGCUUUUUCACCAGCUUCUCUGAGAUACUUCAGAUCCACACAGCCAGGAUUGUCCAGGCUACCUCCCUGUGAUUCACUGCUAAUACACAGACACCUUUUCUGCAUGAAGCUAUGCUGGCAGUUUGCAGGUAUGUUAGCACGGUCACGAAACACUCCAACAGCCUGGAAAUCUGAAUGCUGUGGCAGCAUGAAACGAGUAGAAACAAAAGUUUCCUCCACCUUUAGGUAUAAAAUACAUGCAAACUAGUUUGAAAACUUGCAAAUUGCUAUAGCAGAAGAGUUAGCACAUAAUGAAAUACGUUCUUAAAAAUCACUGAAAUGCUGUGAAAAUUCAGGGCUGUAAACACCUGGGAUGCUUUAACUCCUACCUAGAAUACUUGGUACACAUUUCUCAUUGGGCUAGAAAAUGUUACUUCUUGUCACUGCUCUUCUAAACGCAACUUUUGAAGCACAACAGAAGUAUCUCCAACUAUCAUAGAAUCCCAGACUGGUUUGGGUUGGAAGGGACCUUAAAACUCAUCCAGUUCCAGCCCCCUGCCACGGGCAGGGACACCUUCCACUAGAGCAGGUUGCUCCAAGCCCUGUCCAACCUGGCCUUGCACUAUGGCCACUGUGGUUGUGGUUGAUUUUUGUGUGUGUAGUUCUGUUUGGUUGGUUGGUUUUGUGUUUUUAUUUUUAAUUAUAGAAGAGGCAUUUUUGGAGCCUGAGGUAAGGGCUGAUGCAGAAGCAGAGCCACGGGAUUACCAGAAAGAUGGAAAGGACAGUAUAUAGGAUGAAUCAUUAAAUAAUGAUGAUGUUCACUGUUGCUGGAGAUGGAUAUAAAGGAAUAUUAGUCAGUAAAAGGAAAAUAACAAUCAGUCAAGAGCAUGUGGUGAGCUUAUGGAGGAGGGAAAUGCACCUCCGGAGGGGAGGGGUGCUGGGCUGCACAGCUCCAGGACGGAUAUGCUCCUGGCCAAGGAUCAUGUACAGGGGAAGGGCUCACUUAGUCCAGCUGGGUCCAAACGUGAUGAAGCUCCGUGUCUGAAAGUCAGAUUGUUUCCUCAUCAAAAAGAUAAAACUGUAAUGAUUAAAUGAAUUAAUUUCCAGCUUUGGUUCACUGUGAUACCAUUGGUGAAUAACAGCCUCCUGACCCAGCACACCUGCACAGGCCUUCCUUUUUCAAUUUCCUGAGACAAACAAAUAAAGCCCAUUGCUUUGUCAAACACUUGCUAAUGUAUUAUGUAUAGCAGAAAUGAGAAGCUGUAGAGAGGAAGCGUUUUUCACUGCAUGCAGAACAUUUCACUUGUGUUAGAAUGAAUUCGCCCCAUCAAUCUUAUUAAAGACAGAUUAUUUUUUCCUUGCUCAUUAUAUUUACCUGUUUAAAUCACUAUAUCUAAAUAUGAAGGAGUAAAUGAAAGCUGAAGUUGUGCAUGUCAUUUUCCAAUGGAGCUGAUAAAUUGUGUGCUUGUGUGAUUUGUUUGAGCUGGCAGUGGCUUGUGAACCA
Molecule: long non-coding RNA, 5419 nt
Organism: Strigops habroptila (Kakapo)
Lineage: Eukaryota; Metazoa; Chordata; Aves; Psittaciformes; Psittacidae
Exons: 2
Source: RefSeq, a predicted model, not a curated record